GCCGGGCAGUGGCUCAUGCCUGUAAUCCCAGCAGCUUGGGAGGCUGAGGCAGGAGGAUCGCGAGUUCAAAGCCAGCCUCAACAAUUUAAUGAGGCACUAAGCAACUCAGUGAGACCCUGUCUCUA
RNAcentral lists this small RNA (125 nucleotides) under Marmota monax (woodchuck). The record is from RNAcentral. Lineage: Eukaryota; Metazoa; Chordata; Mammalia; Rodentia; Sciuridae.